This 71-nucleotide transfer RNA is filed under the name Loxodonta africana (African savanna elephant). It matches the Rfam family "tRNA". Rfam says of the family: Transfer RNA (tRNA) molecules are approximately 80 nucleotides in length. Their secondary structure includes four short double-helical elements and three loops (D, anti-codon, and T loops). Further hydrogen bonds mediate the characteristic L-shaped molecular structure. tRNAs have two regions of fundamental functional importance: the anti-codon, which is responsible for specific mRNA codon recognition, and the 3' end, to which the tRNAs corresponding amino acid is attached (by aminoacyl-tRNA synthetases). tRNAs cope with the degeneracy of the genetic code in two manners: having more than one tRNA (with a specific anti-codon) for a particular amino acid; and 'wobble' base-pairing, i.e. permitting non-standard base-pairing at the 3rd anti-codon position. Lineage: Eukaryota; Metazoa; Chordata; Mammalia; Proboscidea; Elephantidae. The record is from Rfam by way of RNAcentral.
GCAAUGGUGGUUCAGUGGUAGAGUUCUCGCCUUCCAUUCAGGAGACCCAGGUUCGAUUCUCGGCCAAUGUA